GACGAACGCUGGCGGCGUGCCUAAUACAUGCAAGUCGAACGCUUCUUUCCUCCCGAGUGCUUGCACUCAAUUGGAAAGAGGAGCGGCGGACGGGUGAGUAACACGUGGGUAACCUACCCAUCAGAGGGGGAUAACACUUGGAAACAGGUGCUAAUACCGCAUAACAGUUUAUGCCGCAUGGCAUAAGAGUGAAAGGCGCUUUCGGGUGUCGUUGAUGGAUGGACCCGCGGUGCAUUAGCUAGUUGGUGAGGUAACGGCUCACCAAGGCCACGAUGCAUAGCCGACCUGAGAGGGUGAUCGGCCACACUGGGACUGAGACACGGCCCAGACUCCUACGGGAGGCAGCAGUAGGGAAUCUUCGGCAAUGGACGAAAGUCUGACCGAGCAACGCCGCGUGAGUGAAGAAGGUUUUCGGAUCGUAAAACUCUGUUGUUAGAGAAGAACAAGGACGUUAGUAACUGAACGUCCCCUGACGGUAUCUAACCAGAAAGCCACGGCUAACUACGUG
This 508-nucleotide ribosomal RNA is filed under the name uncultured bacterium. RNAcentral's name for it is "partial 16S ribosomal RNA". It matches the Rfam family "Bacterial small subunit ribosomal RNA", at positions 28 to 507 of the family's 1533-position model. The record is from RNAcentral.